AAGAUUUCGCAAUUGAGGAAACUCUGACGCAGCGACGCCGCGUGACCGAUGAACGUCUUCGGAUCGUAAAGCUCUGUCCUUUCGGAAGCAGAUCGUAAGUUCUGACGGUACCCGAGGAGGACGCCCCGGCUAACUACGUGCCAGCAGCCGCGGUAAUCCGUAGGGGGCAAGCGUUAUCCGGAAUUAUUGGGCGUAAAGGGUUCGUAGGCGGCGUUUUAAGUCAGAGGUGAAAGACCACGGCUUAACCGUGGGGUUGCAUUUGAAACUGGGAGGCUUGAGUAUCGGAGAGGGUAGUGGAAUUCCCAGUGUAGCGGUGAAAUGCGUAGAUAUUGGGAGGAACACCAGUGGCGAAGGCGACUAACUGGACGAAAACUGACGCUGAUGCACGAAAGCUAGGGGAGCAAACAG
Molecule: ribosomal RNA, 408 nt
Filed under: uncultured bacterium
Lineage: Bacteria
Description: partial 16S ribosomal RNA
Rfam family: Bacterial small subunit ribosomal RNA
Source: RNAcentral